This 301-nucleotide ribosomal RNA is filed under the name uncultured bacterium. RNAcentral describes it as "partial 16S ribosomal RNA". It matches the Rfam family "Bacterial small subunit ribosomal RNA", at positions 509 to 807 of the family's 1533-position model. The record is from RNAcentral.
CAGUCGCCACGGUAAUACGUAGGGUGCAAGCGUUGUCCGGAAUUAUUGGGCGUAAAGAGCUCGUAGGCGGUUUGUCGCGUCUGCUGUGAAAUCCCGAGGCUCAACCUCGGGCUUGCAGUGGGUACGGGCAGACUAGAGUGCGGUAGGGGAGAUUGGAAUUCCUGGUGUAGCGGUGGAAUGCGCAGAUAUCAGGAGGAACACCGAUGGCGAAGGCAGAUCUCUGGGCCGUAACUGACGCUGAGGAGCGAAAGCGUGGGGAGCGAACAGGAUUAGAUACCCCUGUAGUCCCUGUCUCUUAUAC